This 301-nucleotide ribosomal RNA is filed under the name uncultured bacterium. Its description in RNAcentral is "partial 16S ribosomal RNA". It matches the Rfam family "Bacterial small subunit ribosomal RNA", at positions 509 to 809 of the family's 1533-position model. The record is from RNAcentral.
CAGUAGCCGCGGUAAUACGAAUGGUGCAAGCGUUAAUCGGAAUUACUGGGCGUAAAGCGUGCGUAGGCGGUUUGUUAAGUCUGCUGUGAAAUCCCCGGGCUCAACCUGGGAAUGGCAGUGGAUACUGGCAAGCUAGAGUGUGUCAGAGGAUGGUGGAAUUCCCGGUGUAGCGGUGAAAUGCGUAGAGAUCGGGAGGAACAUCAGUGGCGAAGGCGGCCAUCUGGGACAACACUGACGCUGAGGCACGAAAGCGUGGGGAGCAAACAGGAUUAGAUACCCCAGUAGUCCCUGUCUCUUAUAU